GCUUGUCUCAAAGAUUAAGCCAUGCAUGUCUAAGUGUAAAUACGUCUACACUGUGAAACUGCGAAUGGCUCAUUAAAUCAGUUAUCGUUUAUUUGAUGAUCUCUUGUUACAUGGAUAACCGUAGUAAUUCUAGAGCUAAUACAUGCGUCAAGCCCCGACUCACGAAGGGGUGUAUUUAUUAGAUUCAAAGCCAACCGUGUAAAAGCGUACCUUGGUGAUUCAUAAUAACUAGUCGAAUCGCAUGGCUUUUUGCCGGCGAUGGUUCAUUCGAAUUUCUGCCCUAUCAGCUUUCGACGGUAGUGUAGUGGACUACCGUGGCAUUAACGGGUGACGGAGAAUUAGGGUUCGAUUCCGGAGAGGGAGCCUGAGAAACGGCUACCACAUCCAAGGAAGGCAGCAGG
Molecule: ribosomal RNA, 401 nt
Filed under: uncultured Cryptophyta
Lineage: Eukaryota; Cryptophyceae
Description: partial small subunit ribosomal RNA
Rfam family: Eukaryotic small subunit ribosomal RNA
Source: RNAcentral